AACGGGAGGCAGCAGUAAGGAAUAUUGGUCAAUGGAGGCAACUCUGAACCAGCCAUGCCGCGUGCAGGAAGACAGCCCUCUGGGUCGUAAACUGCUUUUAUUCGGGAAUAAACCUGCUUACGUGUAAGUAGCUGAAUGUACCGAAGGAAUAAGGAUCGGCUAACUCCGUGCCAGCAGCCGCGGUAAUACGGAGGAUCCAAGCGUUAUCCGGAUUUAUUGGGUUUAAAGGGUGCGUAGGCGGCUUUUUAAGUCAGGGGUGAAAGACGGUGGCUCAACCAUCGCAGUGCCCUUGAUACUGAAGAGCUUGAAUGAACUAGAGGUAGGCGGAAUGUGACAAGUAGCGGUGAAAUGCAUAGAUAUGUCACAGAACACCGAUUGCGAAGGCAGCUUACUAUGGUUAAAUUGACGCUGAGGCACGAAAGCGUGGGGAUCAAACAGGAUUAGAUACCCUGGUAGUCCACGCCCUAAACGAUGAAUACUCGCUGUUAGCGAUACACAGUUAGCGGCUAAGCGAAAGCGUUAAGUAUUCCACCUGGGGAGUACGGUCGCAAGAUUGAAACUCAAAGGAAUUGACGGGGGCCCGCACAAGCGGAGGAGCAUGUGGUUUAAUUCGAUGAUACGCGAGGAACCUUACCCGGGCUUGAAAGUUAGUGAAUCAUUUAGAGAUAGAUGAGUCCGCAAGGACACGAAACUAGGUGCUGCAUGGCUGUCGUCAGCUCGUGCCGUGAGGUGUUGGGUUAAGUCCCGCAACGAGCGCAACCCCUAUGUUUAGUUGCCAGCACGUUAAGGUGGGGACUCUAAACAGACUGCCUGUGCAAACAGAGAGGAAGGAGGGGACGACGUCAAGUCAUCAUGGCCCUUACGUCCGGGGCUACACACGUGCUACAAUGGAUGGUACAGAGGGCAGCAAGCUGGUAACAGCAAGCAAAUCUCCAAAAGCCAUUCACAGUUCGGAUAGAGGUCUGCAACUCGACCUCUUGAAGUUGGAUUCGCUAGUAAUCGUAUAUCAGCAAUGAUACGGUGAAUACGUUCCCGGGCCUUGUACACACCGCCC
RNAcentral lists this ribosomal RNA (1054 nucleotides) under Pedobacter sp. Its description in RNAcentral is "bacterial SSU rRNA". It matches the Rfam family "Bacterial small subunit ribosomal RNA", at positions 340 to 1395 of the family's 1533-position model. The record is from RNAcentral. Lineage: Bacteria; Pseudomonadati; Bacteroidota; Sphingobacteriia; Sphingobacteriales; Sphingobacteriaceae.